This 28-nucleotide non-coding RNA is filed under the name Mus musculus (house mouse). The record is from RNAcentral. Lineage: Eukaryota; Metazoa; Chordata; Mammalia; Rodentia; Muridae.
UUCUUCCUGACUAGUUGAGCGCACGCAA